UUAUAGUUGACAUAAAAAUUUUAAUGUGUGUUUAAAUGUCGUCAACCUAACCUAACCUAACCUGUCCCUGUCCAAAAGAGGAUAUAAUGCAGAGGUGUAGGAUACCUAUAAUGACAAUAUAAUGUCAAAAGGUUUCUGUCAUCACAGACUGUUUACAGUGCGAAAAGAGAUAGCGUCGUGUCAAAGUGCAAUGUAUAUUGCCAACACAUUACGUCCUUAUUCAACAGCAGAAACCCAACAGGUCGGACAAAAAAUUGUUUCGCGUAAACUCAUCCGCCUACAAGACGGCCCGAGCGUGCCUGUCGAAAUAUACGGUACUGAGUUGGGCGGUUUCGCUUGUUGAAAAGACAAGGAUGAGUGCAGAACUCAAAUGAUAAUGGAUCUAAAAAUAUCGAUAUUAUCGACAUUUUUAGUUCCAUUUAGUAGAUGGCGCAGGACCGUCAGAGUUCGGCCAUCACUCCAGCAUCGCCUUAAGGAAAAUAAUGGAAACAAGCUUGUAUUAGUCUUGUACAUGGACGAUAGUCUAUUAGUACCAGCAACUAACCAGAAGGAACUAAGGAUCUUCCUACACAAGCUCAGGACGGAAUUCAUGAUUACUAUAAAAGAAGCGUAUUUUUUUGGGCUACGUAUUUUUUUGGACUACAGAUUGACAGACACCAAGAUGAAAGUAUCAGGAUUUUACAAGAAUCAUAUGCUCGUAGCAUUCUUGAGCGAUUCAACUUCGCUGAAUGUAAACCAGUUUUGACUCCUAUGCUGAAAAAAUCAGAAAAAGAACAACCAAAGCAGCAUAAUUUUUCCUACAGACAAGCAAUGGGAGCUCUAAUGUAUCUUAUGCUCGGCACAAGACCUGAUUUAGCUUACAGCAUGGGAUAUUUAUCAAGGUCACUUGAUAAUCCAUCUAUAGAAGACGUGGCCAGAGAAAAAUAGGCUUUUCGAUAUGUUGAAGGCACAUUGAAAUUGGGUAUAUUUUAUCGUCCAAAUAUCAAUAAAGGUAUUUUAGAAUGUUACAACGAUGCAGAUUUCGGAGGUUGCUUAAAAACUGGGCGCUCUACCUCAGGUUUUGUAGUAAUGUAUGCAGGAGGAGCCAUAUCAUGGAUUAGUCAGAGACAAGCUAUGAUGGCUACAUCAACCACAGAAACUGAAAUACUUGCCGCUAGUAAAGCUACAAAGAAAAUUAUCUGGUUAAAAAAAUUAAUCAGCAGUAUUUGCAAUCUGAGAGAUGUUCCCAUUCUUCAAGUCGACAAUUCAGCAGCAGUCAGGCUAGCCGAAUCCAGAGUUUCAUCGACGCACUAAACAUGUUGCGAUUAAACACUUUUUUAUCCAGGAGAAGGUUUCGGAGCGACAACUAGGAGUUCAGCAAAUUUCAACUGAGAAGCAAGUUGCCGACAUUAUGACAAAAGCAUUAUCUAAAACGAGUCAAAAAUUUUAUGUAAUUUUAUGAGACUGAUAUAAUUGAAAUCAUUAGUUUAAUUAACAAGAAAAAAUGUUAUAGAUAAAAGAUUUAAUGUGUUAAUUUAAAUUAAGAAGAAUGUGUAGAUGUCGCGCUUGAUUUAGUACUCCGUUCUUCAUGUUUUCGGUUAUUUGUGCUCUCUCUCUCUCUCUCUCUCUCUCUCUCUCUCUCUUACCGAGUAUGUAUGCAUGUAAAAGUUAUUCGCUCUCCUUUUAUUACAAAUUUUGUACUUUAUUCUGCUACUAUUAUGUGUGUAUAAUAAACAGUUCUUCAUAGAAACAAGUAAAUA
Long non-coding RNA from Solenopsis invicta (red fire ant), 1739 nucleotides. RefSeq lists it as uncharacterized. The transcript is spliced from 2 exons. The record is from RefSeq and is a predicted model, not a curated record. Lineage: Eukaryota; Metazoa; Arthropoda; Insecta; Hymenoptera; Formicidae.